UAAUAGAAUUAGUUACUAUAUAUACCGUACUGUAUUAUAUAUUGUCACAGUUUAAUUUGGAUCUCAAUUUGAAACAUGAAACUCUUCAUCAUCCUUUCCGCCCUUGUGGUGAUGACCAUAGCAGAGGAUAUCGUAUACUUCACCUCGGACGAUGAUUAUUUGGAUAUCGACUCAUUGAUGAACGAACCACUUAUAGCCAAAGAAAUUAUUGAUUGCUUAGUUGAUCGUGCUCCGUGCUACUAUCGGAUUCAAUCAUACAAAAAUAAGUUGGCUGAAGUAAUCUUCACAGCCUGCCACAGAUGCAAUGACCCUCAGAAGAAAUUGGCGAACCGUUUCCUGAUGGCUCUGAAGGUGAAGUAUCCUGAGUACUACCGGGACUUCGACAAGAAAUACGAUCCUGACAACAUUUACCUGCCAAUUUUGGAAAAUGCUGUGUCUGGAUACUAAUUUUUUUAUCAAUAAAAAAAUCAGCAUUUAA
Pieris rapae (cabbage white) is the source of this 478-nucleotide RNA transcript. RefSeq lists it as uncharacterized. The transcript has 3 exons. The record is from RefSeq and is a predicted model, not a curated record. NCBI's taxonomy places the organism in Eukaryota, Metazoa, Arthropoda, Insecta, Lepidoptera, Pieridae.